Molecule: long non-coding RNA, 866 nt
Organism: Rosa chinensis
Lineage: Eukaryota; Viridiplantae; Streptophyta; Magnoliopsida; Rosales; Rosaceae
Exons: 5
Source: RefSeq, a predicted model, not a curated record
UGGGAGAUUUUGUUGUCUCACUGUUAACGGUGGCUAUUAAACUCUUUUGUAUAUUUAAUUUAAUUAAUUCCUCAAACCCACUGAAAUAUGAAGAUAAAUAAAGUAAAAAGAAAAGAAAAGAGAAGAGGCGGGGGGCGAUCUGAUAGAUCCAGAGCCUAUCUCGCAGAUCCAUAAACUAGCAGCUCUAAGCAGACAAGAUCGGUGGAGAUCGGCAUAGAGCUAGUCGUUUAUGGAUCGGUGGAGAUGGCGGUGGCAGUGCGGAAAGACGAUUUGUCCAAGUCCUGCACGGGCUCUUCCUCUUCCACUGGGCUACUAAAGCUAAAUUGGACGAGGGUAAUGUCUCUAUUCAUGGCCUAUAUUUGACUCAGUAGUGGUACUAGGUGUUCAAGUCAGUAAUAAUGAUGACACUAUGGCUAGGCAUUUCAAACACCGGAGCUAGAAAUUUUGGGAUUCAUUUGCAGUACUUGCACAUUUUGUGAAACUCUUCGUCUGCUACACUAUAACCACCAAAAUGAAUGAAAUUCAAGUUUUGCAGGGGACUGCAUUCUAGAUGGUCCAGACCAUGAGCAGGUUCUACACUUCAUCCCCCAAGUUCCUGAUGCCAUUUCUCUAGAGGAUUGUGUUCCUCCCUUGUUUCUCAAUUAUGACUUCUCCGCAUUCAGUGGCUGUCAGUGGCAAUAUCAAGCCUGACCAAGAAUUCUAAAACCACUCCACAAAUUUUAUUCUUCCAAAAAGGUUUAUUCGUCUAGGUGAGAGGAUGAUCCUAAUGGCGAUUUGUGAGGAUCCGACCGUUGGAUCAUCGUAUAAUUGUGAAAAGACGAUUCAAAAGGCGAUCCGUGAGGAUCCGACCUUUGGAUCAUCGUAUA